RNAcentral lists this ribosomal RNA (240 nucleotides) under uncultured bacterium. RNAcentral's name for it is "partial 16S ribosomal RNA". It matches the Rfam family "Bacterial small subunit ribosomal RNA", at positions 15 to 245 of the family's 1533-position model. The record is from RNAcentral.
GAUCAUGGCUCAGGGUGAGCGCUAGCUACAGGCUUAACACAUGCAAGUCGAGGGGCAGCAUGAACUUAGCUUGCUAAGUUUGAUGGCGACCGGCGCACGGGUGAGUAACACGUAUCCAACCUGCCGAUGACUCGGGGAUAGCCUUUCGAAAGAAAGAUUAAUACCCGAUGGCAUAGUUCUUCCGCGUGGUAGAACUAUUAAAGAAUUUCGGUUCAUCGAUGGGGAGUGCGUUCCAUUAGG